GAUGAACGCUGGCGGCGUGCCUAAUACAUGCAAGUCGAGCGAACGGACGAGAAGCUUGCUUCUCUGAUGUUAGCGGCGGACGGGUGAGUAACACGUGGAUAACCUACCUAUAAGACUGGGAUAACUUCGGGAAACCGGAGCUAAUACCGGAUAAUAUUUUGAACCGCAUGGUUCAAAAGUGAAAGACGGUCUUGCUGUCACUUAUAGAUGGAUCCGCGCUGCAUUAACUAGUUGGUAAGGUAACGGCUUACCAAGGCAACGAUGCAUAGCCGACCUGAGAGGGUGAUCGGCCACACUGGAACUGAGACACGGUCCAGACUCCUACGGGAGGCAGCAGUAGGGAAUCUUCCGCAAUGGGCGAAAGCCUGACGGAGCAACGUCGCGUGAGUGAUGAAGGUCUUCGGAUCGUAAAACUCUGUUAUUAGGGAAGAACAUAUGUGUAAGUAACUGUGCACAUCUUGACGGUACCUAAUCAGAAAGCCACGGCUAACUACGUG
This 497-nucleotide ribosomal RNA is filed under the name uncultured bacterium. RNAcentral's name for it is "partial 16S ribosomal RNA". It matches the Rfam family "Bacterial small subunit ribosomal RNA", at positions 28 to 507 of the family's 1533-position model. The record is from RNAcentral.